AAACCGAUGGACCUGGACAGUUGUUGAA
RNAcentral lists this non-coding RNA (28 nucleotides) under Bombyx mori (domestic silkworm). Lineage: Eukaryota; Metazoa; Arthropoda; Insecta; Lepidoptera; Bombycidae. The record is from RNAcentral.